This 468-nucleotide ribosomal RNA is filed under the name uncultured bacterium. RNAcentral's name for it is "partial 16S ribosomal RNA". It matches the Rfam family "Bacterial small subunit ribosomal RNA", at positions 28 to 507 of the family's 1533-position model. The record is from RNAcentral.
GACGAACGCUGGCGGCGUGCUUAACACAUGCAAGUCGAACGGAAAGGCCCUGCUUUUGUGGGGUGCUCGAGUGGCGAACGGGUGAGUAACACGUGAGUAACCUGCCCUUGACUUUGGGAUAACUUCAGGAAACUGGGGCUAAUACCGGAUCGGAGCUCCUGCUGCAUUGUGGGGGUUGGAAAGUUUCGGCGGUUGGGGAUGGACUCGCGGCUUAUCAGCUUGUUGGUGGGGUAGUGGCUUACCAAGGCUUUGACGGGUAGCCGGCCUGAGAGGGUGACCGGCCACAGUGGGACUGAGAUACGGAGCAGACGCCUACGGGAGGCAGCAGUGGGGAGUAUGGCACAAUGGGCGGAAGCCUGAUGCAGCAACGCCGCGUGCGGGAUGACGGCCUUCGGGUUGUAAAACGCUUUCGCCUGUGACGAAGCGGGAGUGACGGUAAUGGGUAAAGAAGCACCGGCUAACUACGUG